AGCGAACGCUGGCGGCAGGCCUAACACAUGCAAGUCGAACGGAUCCUUCGGGAUUAGUGGCGGACGGGUGAGUAACACGUGGGAACGUGCCCUUUGGUUCGGAACAACUCAGGGAAACUUGAGCUAAUACCGGAUGUGCCCUUCGGGGGAAAGAUUUAUCGCCAUUGGAGCGGCCCGCGUCUGAUUAGCUAGUUGGUGAGGUAACGGCCCACCAAGGCGACGAUCAGUAACUGGUCUGAGAGGAUGAUCAGCCACACUGGGACUGAGACACGGCCCAGACUCCUACGGGAUGCAGCAGUGCGGAAUCGUGCGCAAUGGGCGAAAGCCUGACGCAGCCAUGCCGCGUGAAUGAUGAAGUUCUUAGGAUUGUAAAAUUCUUUCAGCGGGGACGAUAAUGACGGUACCCGCAGAAGAAGCUCCGGCUAACUUCGUG
Molecule: ribosomal RNA, 433 nt
Filed under: uncultured bacterium
Lineage: Bacteria
Description: partial 16S ribosomal RNA
Rfam family: Bacterial small subunit ribosomal RNA
Source: RNAcentral